Molecule: ribosomal RNA, 465 nt
Filed under: Vreelandella stevensii
Lineage: Bacteria; Pseudomonadati; Pseudomonadota; Gammaproteobacteria; Oceanospirillales; Halomonadaceae
Description: partial 16S ribosomal RNA
Rfam family: Bacterial small subunit ribosomal RNA
Source: RNAcentral
CCUACGGGGGGCAGCAGUGGGGAAUAUUGGACAAUGGGGGCAACCCUGAUCCAGCCAUGCCGCGUGUGUGAAGAAGGCCCUCGGGUUGUAAAGCACAUUCAGUGAGGAAGAACGCCUGGUGGUUAAUACCCAUCAGGAAAGACAUCACUCACAGAAGAAGCACCGGCUAACUCCGUGCCAGCAGCCGCGGUAAUACGGAGGGUGCGAGCGUUAAUCGGAAUUACUGGGCGUAAAGCGCGCGUAGGUGGCUUGAUAAGCCGGUUGUGAAAGCCCCGGGCUCAACCUGGGAACGGCAUCCGGAACUGUCAAGCUAGAGUGCAGGAGAGGAAGGUAGAAUUCCCGGUGUAGCGGUGAAAUGCGUAGAGAUCGGGAGGAAUACCAGUGGCGAAGGCGGCCUUCUGGACUGACACUGACACUGAGGUGCGAAAGCGUGGGUAGCAAACAGGAUUAGAUACCCUUGUAGUC